RNAcentral lists this microRNA (21 nucleotides) under Heliconius melpomene (postman butterfly). RNAcentral describes it as "Hme-Mir-989-P1_3p (mature (guide))". The record is from RNAcentral. Lineage: Eukaryota; Metazoa; Arthropoda; Insecta; Lepidoptera; Nymphalidae.
UGUGAUGUGACGUAGUGGAAG